CCAAAGGCUCUUUUAAGAGCCACCUCAGUCUGUCUAACUGAAGUGGG
This is a non-coding RNA of Danio rerio (zebrafish), 47 nucleotides long. NCBI's taxonomy places the organism in Eukaryota, Metazoa, Chordata, Actinopteri, Cypriniformes, Danionidae. The record is from Rfam.